Long non-coding RNA from Macadamia integrifolia, 7677 nucleotides. RefSeq lists it as uncharacterized. The transcript is spliced from 7 exons. Lineage: Eukaryota; Viridiplantae; Streptophyta; Magnoliopsida; Proteales; Proteaceae. The record is from RefSeq and is a predicted model, not a curated record.
AGCUCCAUUUUCAUUCUUGGUAACAAACCAUUGCAGGUCUCCAUCGUCACUUCACUCUCUUGUCUCUUCCCGUCACUUCUGUUGCGCUCAAAAGAGUUGCAGUAGAUCGACGCUUGAUUAUACUUAAAAACCAGUUGAAUAAUUGGUUGGAGGGGAAAAGAUCGUUUAGAUUCUGCAAAAGCCAGAAAAAUUCUCUCUCUACUCUCAAAAAGGUCGAGACUCGACGAGACGUUAUUUUACAGUUUUAAAAGAUCACACCAAUCAGAUCGAUCGGCCUCUCGUCUUAGGUUGUUUGCGAAGGUAGCAGCUCCACAUCGCCACCCACUUCUCUCUCUCACUGUUUCCCGCUGAUUUCAUCUCUCCUCGAUUCUUCAACUCCUGAUUUUGGAGUAGCUUGUACUUUGCUGGGUUUAUCACGAAAGGUAUUUCUAUCUACUUCUGUUCUACUUGAUUGAAUGCCAGAAGAAAAGGGAAGCAAAUUUAUGUACCCACUACUCUCUAGAGAAAAAGAGAGAGAGCCCAACAAGGAAGCAAGCUAAGUCUCGAGAGGGAUUCUGGAAAGAAGGGGAGUUUAUUUUGGGUUUGAGAGGAGUAAAGGGUAUAUAUUAGAAGCCCCAAGAACAAACCUCCGGAAUUGGAAAAUCUUGGGUUUCAGGAACAAGGGAAGGUGGAGGUCAGCCAGUGAAAGUGCCGAAUCUUCUUCUUAUGGUCUACGUGAUGCCAGUUGCAGAAGUAUUGCAUCCAAAGGUGUUGGAGUUGUUGUCGUCGUCAACGUUGUUUCCUCUUCUGGGCUUUCCUCUUCUCCUCCGCCUUCAACACCCUGCAUUUCCCAACCACGAUUACAAUCGAGAUUCUUCACUCUAAAACAUGGCCGUUCCUUUUAACAUUGCUCAUCCAAUGUAUAGCAUCAGAGAUAUCCACAAGCAAAAGUCGACCACCAAUAGUUGUUAAUCUUCUGUUUAUUUUAUCUAAUCCACUGUUUAUGCGCAGCUAAGACAUGGCUGUUCCUUGUAGCAUUGCUCAUCCAACGCAUAGCCUCAGAGAUAUCCACAAGCAAAAGGACACCGAAGUUGCUUUCUCCAAAAACCUUCAAAUUAUCAUCCAACGAGCAAAGGAUGCAAAGUUUGACCUGUGUCAAGAUCUUUAUUGUGCUUCAUUUGAUUUACUCAAUUAUCAUUUAGCACUCACAUUGAGUAGCUUACAUGGUUGUUUAUGUCUAGGAUGUUUGCGAGAUUUGGAAGUUGUGUCUGUACUUGAUUAGCUGUAGGAUUUAAGUGAUCCAAAAGUACCAUUCUGGAAAUACAUGGAAGUGCUUGUAUUUCAUCCGACAAUUGGCUUUUCUUUCUUUUUCUUUCUUAUCCAUCAGUCAGGAGGCUACUUCAUGUGUCUGUUAAAAUUAUAUCUGAUCAGUUUUAACAGACACAUGAAAUGAACAACAUCCACACCUUUGCUUACCUGUACGUUGUUUACCAGUAAUUCUGUUACAGGUAAAUGUAACAGAGUUACUCAAUUCUGUUCAGGAUCUCUAUUGUGCUUCAUUUGAUUUACUCAAUUAUUAUAUAUCACUCACAUUGAUUAGCUUACAUGGUUGUUUAUAUCGAGGAUGUUUGUGAGACUUGGAAGUUGUAUUUGUACUUGAUUAGCUGCAGGAUUUAAAAGGAACAAGGAACCUUUGUGGAAAUACAUGCUUGUAAUUCAUCCGACCAUUGGCUUUUCUUUCUUUUUCUGUCUUAUCCAUCAGUCAGGAGGUUGCUUCAUGUGUCUGUUAAAAUUAUAUCUGACCAGUUUUAACAGACACAUGAAAUGAACAACAUCCACACCUUUGCUUACCUGUGCGUUGUUUACCAGUAAUUCUGUUACAGGUAAAUAUAUUAAAAGAUUUGGGAGAGUUGAUUUUAUAAAUAUCCAUAAAAUGAUUUUUUUCGGGUUUAAAUAGCCACCUUAUUGGAACAGCUCCAAGAAGAGUACAUGGUUCAAUAUGAGAAAUCCUAACUCUAGUUUGGGACACAAAGCAUAAAUACAUAGAGUUUAGAAAUACAGAUUAGGUUUGACAGUUCAAAAAACAUUAUGAUCAAUGUCUGAUCAAGUAAAAGGGAAAAAUAAGUAAUGAGAAAUAAUAGGACAGAAAUUAAGAAAAUUAAUAGAAUUGAAAUUAGGCAGAAUUGGGGCUCAUAGAGGGAGAACUUAAAACUUCUAAACCACUGAUCAGUUAGGCAUCAGUGAGUCCUAAGAGGUUUACAUAUGGGUGAUUUCUCUCAACUAUGAAGGGGUGUGAUUGGCUCCGCUAGGGAAUCUAACAGAAACAGGCGAGGUAGCUAAAUAGUGAAUAUCACAGUUAUGAUAGUGGGUCUUAACAAUAGGAAUCAAAAGAGAAUAGAUACGGGACAUAGAAUUAAGAGAGGUGAACACAACACACUAGCUGAAACUGGACAGGAAAACAAUGUAUCUGCAGGGUAUAAUUUUCAAAAGAGAUUAGAUACGGGACACAGAAUUAAGAGAGGUGAACAAAACACACUAGCUGAAACUGGACAGGAAAACAAUGUAUCUGCAGGGUAUAAUUUUGAACUUAAACUGAUCUGAAUUUAUAGCAGAACUGAACCAGAACAAGAGGAAUAAGAAGUUGAAGAGAUGUUCACGGUAAUCCACCGGUGACAAUCAGGGAAUCCUCACUUAAAACCUUGAGGAGUCCAUGUCAAUAUCUCCCAGUGAAUCCACAUAUAAGACUGAAAGCAUCAGCAGAACAUUUUAUUCAGUAAAAACUGUGUUUACGAGCAACACUCCUUAAUCUGUGAAUGAAAAUAUAAUUUCUAAUAUGCAAAUAAAAUUGUAGACUGAGUGAUCUAAAAUAGAACCUCUUAUAACCGCUUCUAGAGCUUCUAGGCUCAGAUUCAACUUAAGUUCUCAAACAAAUUACAAACAAGAAUAACUCAAAUUGAAAUAAAAACUAGAAGAGAGCUUCUUCUGUAGUUUUAGUGUUAGGCUUCUAGAGUACUGCACGGUUUAGGGUUAUAACACCUUUCUUUGAUCUUGGUUUCUGCUGCAUUAGUACAUGCCCAAAGAGGCAGGCCCAUAAGGUCUUAGAACGGAAAGAAAAUUGAAACACCCCAAGAUAAAAAAUGUAGUUCUUCUAUGAUCUCAUUAUGGAAGUUCAAUCACUGGGACCUGGAAAUCAAUUCCCAUGAUUUAGAGUUCGACCUUCCUGUUUGUUGUGACAUGAGAUUCUGCUUUAGAGUCUUCACUUUUCUGUUUUAUUUGGUGGGCUAAAUAUCCCCAUGGAUUUUCUAAACAAGUCAUUGCCUUAAACAUAUUCCAAAUGAAUGUUAGCAACUUGGUUGAUUGUUACUUGGGGCACACUGAUUGACCUACUUGCCUUCAAUUCGUGGGCUUAAAAUACUUGCAAUGGAUGGCUACUAGCAUAUUAGGGAUUUCAGUCUAGAGGGUUUCUGAUAUUUAAUUAGAAAAGCUAUGAUUCCAAAAUUUUGUUGGAAGAAUAAAAGUUAAUUGAUACCUUUGAAAAUAUGUGAUUCUAUAUUUUCUUUUGGAUUUAAUUGGAUUCCCCACUUUUACUCCUCCUUACAUUACUUCUUUUUGGACCUUGAGUUUGCUUGGAAUUUAGUGUUACAUGUCCAUUGUACCAUUUGAUAGUUAGACCGAAACAAUUGGCAGGUGUACAUUAAAACUCCUGGGGGAGAAUCCCAAAUCAAACAAGAGAAGCCCAACUACAAUGGAAUGAUGCUGCAAGUGUGGAAGAAUCUUGGAAUACAUUGUGGAGGAGGUUGAAGUAUCUGGUUGAGAACCACAUCAAGAUGGUGAUGCUCAAAUGAUUUUUUUGGUUGGAUUGAUGAUUUGGGUUUUCUUGUAGGAUUUUGAAUGAAGGAAUCACAUAUCAUGCUUAUAAUGGUGUACUAUGGGUUCUGGGGUAUUUCUCAUUGUUAUACAUAGUUUCUAAUUUUCUUAAUAUCAUACAGUUAUUUGUGAGUCCAUAAUUACGACUACAUUAUUGUCAUCUAUUUAUUGAACUGUUCUGGUUUUGUGGGCUUUACUGGUAAUAUUUCUGAGUUGCAGUUGCCUUGAAGUUGCAAGGUAUGCUUAUUUUUGCUUUAUUGCUUUUGUUUUCUUUGAAGAUUUAUUAUUUUUGCAAUGCAUUUGAAGGAGCCUUGCAAGAACUCUCUUUUGUGCUGCUUCCCCAAGCAAGUGUGGAUACUCUACAAUGCUCAUCUCUCACCUCUAUGAAGUUUGGCACUAGCUGGCAUAUAAUCUGGACCUGAUUGAUGCAUCAUGCAUGUGCUACCCAUAUUCAGUAACGUGACUUCAGUUGUAAGUUUUACUUCUUUUUCUGCAAUCCCCAUGCCAAUGACUAUUUACUUUGGAGAUUAUUGUUGAUUUUGUGUCCUUUAAAGAUGUGAGUUUGAUCAAUUCAGUAGCACUAUUUUUCCCCUGCUUGAUUUGUGCAAUAAACUAUUUUUAAUUGUAAGUAAUAUAUAUUUUGGAUGUGCUAUGGGACGUUCCCACAUUCCAGUCUGAAUAUGGGAUCAUACUCCGGUACAUUUUGACAUUAAGAGAUUAUCACUUUCACAUGAGGAAAAGGGUCUACUGCAGUGAGUUCAAAAGUACAUUUGAUAUUUGCACGACUUCCCCUCUUCAAUUUAGGACAAGGUUGACGCCUAAGAUGCUACUAAGAACCGUCCGAAAUAUUUCUUAAAUUUUGUAUGUCUGUUUUAUUUGUUUGGAACUAGGUCUCAUGCUCUUAUACAUGAGCAAGUUGGAGACAAGAUUGAGUGGGAAGAACAGCAUGCCAAACCCAAAGGAAGAAGUAUUUCGCUGCAUUCUAACCCUAUGUUCCCUUUUGGAAAAACCCUACUGGGGAUUUCACCGAUAAUCUUAGAGAAGGCAUUGUUAAGAGAUUCAUUCAGAUUUUCUCGCAUGUAAGGUAUUUCACGUGGAUUAUUGUCAUCUAUUCGUUCAGAUUUUCUUGAUUCUGAAGACUAAAGGUGCAGGUAAUAUUUUCUUCCUGUUGGUCUCUCAUUUAAGUUCAAAAUGACGCUUCUCAUCUGGUAUAAUCAUCUAACUUCGUGUGAGGAAUUUCCUUACAUUUUUUUUUUCUCUCAUAUUUAUUGUUUCCUUUAGAAAUAUAAUCCCAUUUUAUUUUGGGGUUUGUUAUAGUGAUUUGGUUAACAGGGAACAUUGGAGGAGAUAAAAUGGCUAAGAGAUUUUCUCUAGGAAAUGCAUUAAGGAAUAGGCUCUUCGAAAGAAAAAACCAACACCAAAUCGAAAAUCCUGAACAUGUUUCAUCUAUCGUUAGAGAACAUAUCGAGAAGAUCUUGAAGGAGAACUUGGAGCUCUUGUGGAUUUUGGCAGAGAAGAAAUAUCCUUGUCCAUCAUUAAAGCAAGAAGAAAGAGCAGAGGAAGCCAAUGCUGGCAUGGUUGGCAGUUGUGGAGUGCCAAGAAAGCAGAAGUGACCCCACUUGCUCCUGUUCAGCUUGCCAAUAUCAUUGGGGAACUCAUAAGGAGGGGUGGACAAAGAGGAAUUCCCAAAAAUGCCACCAUGACGUGCUCAACCUCAGUAUGAGCUAUGGCCAAGGAAGAAGGGUCGGGCUGCCAGAGCUACCCCUCAUGUGCCAGUAGGGGAUGAGGCAGGAAGGGAGAAUGCAGUUGGGGUGACCCUACCCGUACCCCUGCAACAGCAACACCUGUGCCGCCACCUGCACCACCAAUGAUCACAACACUGGAUGUGGCAGCCAUUGUAACAAACAUGACGCAAGGGAUACACGAAGGGUUGUAGCGAACCAUACAGCAAAAUAUGUAGCAGCAAAGGGCAAUGGUUGAAGAAUUGGUCACUGCCAUACGUGCCAGGGAAUCACCAACAAACCAUGUAUCUAUGGCACCACCCCCACCAACCCCUACAGCUCCUGCUCUUAACUCUUUGUUUGUUUUUCGAGUUGCAGCCACUAGUCAGGCUAGUAGUGGACAAACAUCCCAUGCACCACCAGCUAGGGGAACGUUUACAGGGCAACAGACUCCAGGAACCCCUCCCGUAGAACAAGUAUGGACUGAUACCAGCAAGUUGCUGGAAAAGUUUCAGAAGUAUCGGCCUCCAUAUUUUAGUGGGGUACAUAUGAUCCAUUGGCUCCUGCCAAAUGGAUAGGAGGAGUAGAGAAAGCUUUCUCAGUUCUGGGCUGCAAUGAUGAACAAAAGAUCUUGUGUGCUAAAUACCAGUUGCAGAAUGAAGCUCAUGCAUGGUGGAAGGCUACAAGACCCAUAUUGUCAGCCACAUAUCCACAUCCCACUUGGGACCAGUUUAUAGAAGUGUUCUAUGGGAAUUACUUUCCCAUAAGUGUGCAAGAUAGGGAGGAAUCUGAGUUCAUGGCAUUGGUGCAAGGUCCCAGAUUAGUGUUGGAGUACCAGCAGCAAUUUGAGGCACUAUACUAUUUUGCACUUGAGCCUAUGAAGACUGACAGGGCAAAAGCUAAGAAGUUUGAAAAGCGGCUGAGAUCUAGUAUUGGGUAGUACUGAUUGCACACAGGCUCCAGACAUAUGCUGAAGUGGUUCAGAUUGCCAAUUCCGUUAAAGCUAAGCAGAGAGGGGGCUAUCAAAUUCAGCCAGCGAGGAAAGCCAAGGCAACGGGAAUUGGAAGGCAGUUUGGGAAGUUUGUGAAGGGAGCUACAUGUACAGUUAUUGUGCCUGGGAAGAUUGACUCAGGUCAAGCAUCUACCUAGUCCCGGCCAGCAACCACCACUAUCCAGCCUCUAUCCAUGAGGUGCUAUGUGUGCCAAUAACCAGGACACUUGGCCAGAUCUUGUCCCCAGAGGAAGCCAGCAGAGCCCAAUGUGACUUCUUCAUCUGCAUUCACCCGGAAACCAUAAGUGGCUGGGAAGGUGUUUGCAUUGUCAGCUGAGGAAGCUGAGAUUGCCCCUGGAGUUGUAACAGGUACAAUAUUAGUUUCCACAGUACCAACAUUUGUAUUCUUUGAUUCUGGUGCAUCUCAUUCUUUUGUGUCUUCACAUUUUGCUACGAGAAUGGGGAUAGAACCGAAAAAGUUAGCACAUAAGUUGAUGAUUAGUACACCCACUGAGUUUAUAGUGGAGUUGGAGGACGUAUAUGAACCAUGUUUGAUUCAAAUGUGUGGUUGAGAUAUGAUAGCCCAUUUGAUUUGCAUAGAUAUGAAGGAUUUUGUUGUUACACUAGGAAUGGACUGGUUGUCAGUAUACCGAGCUUGUGUACUUUGUGCAGAGAAGAAGAUAGUAUUUAGACCUCGGGAUGGAGAUGAUUUUACAUUUCAAGGGAAUAGGAGAGACAACGCCAAGAAAUUACUAAUUUCUGCCAUACAAGUUCAGAAAUUACUAGAAGAAGGGUGUGAAGCCUAUUUAGCAUGUGUCAGGGAUACUACCAAGAAGAUUGCAACCCUAGAACAGGUAGAAGUAGUCAGAGAAUUUCAUGACCUGUUUCCUGAAGAUCUAUGUAGUGUGCCCCCAGAUAGGGAGACAGAAUUUUGCAUUGAUUUAGUACCUGGGGCAGUACCUGUAUCUCGAGCACCAUACAGAAUGGUUACUGCUGAAUUGAAGGAAUUGAAAGAGCAAUUGCAGGAUUUAUUGAAGAAGGGUUUUAUUAGGUUUUAUUAGACCCAGUGUAUCAUCCUGGGGAGCUCCAGUCUUAUUUGUAAAGAAAAAAGACGGUAGU